Molecule: non-coding RNA, 148 nt
Filed under: Marinomonas posidonica
Lineage: Bacteria; Pseudomonadati; Pseudomonadota; Gammaproteobacteria; Oceanospirillales; Oceanospirillaceae
Description: FMN sequence
Rfam family: FMN riboswitch aptamer (RFN element)
About the family: The RFN element is a highly conserved domain that is found frequently in the 5'-untranslated regions of prokaryotic mRNAs that encode for flavin mononucleotide (FMN) biosynthesis and transport proteins.
Source: RNAcentral
UUUCGUUCUCGGGGCGGGGUGAAAUUCCCCACCGGCGGUAAAGAAUUCAUUUCUAAGCCCGCGAGCGCCUAGUCUACUUUGAUUAGGGUCAGCAGAUCUGGUGAGACUCCAGAGCCGACGGUUAUAGUCCGGAUGAUAGAGAGCGCGU